Molecule: long non-coding RNA, 393 nt
Filed under: Daucus carota (carrot)
Lineage: Eukaryota; Viridiplantae; Streptophyta; Magnoliopsida; Apiales; Apiaceae
Description: long non-coding RNA (DCAR_LNC005949)
Source: RNAcentral
UUUAACCUAAUAAUAUAAUUAUUUUUUGUAUCCCCUCUAGGAAGAAUCAUGAUAUAUUUUAUGUUUCCACUAUUACUUGUAAACAUCUAUUAUCUUACAGAACCUGAGAUGCCCGAGGGGAGCUGGAAGUGUGAGAAAUGCAACAAUAUCAAUUAUCCUUUUAGGACAAAGUGCAAUAGACAGAAUUGUGGGGCUGAUAAGCCGUCAGACUCCAAGAAGUCCCNUUUUAUGUUUCCACUAUUACUUGUAAACAUCUAUUAUCUUACAGAACCUGAGAUGCCCGAGGGGAGCUGGAAGUGUGAGAAAUGCAACAAUAUCAAUUAUCCUUUUAGGACAAAGUGCAAUAGACAGAAUUGUGGGGCUGAUAAGCCGUCAGACUCCAAGAAGUCCCCU